GCAGGGGUAGCCAAGCCUGGUUAAAGGCGCAGGCUUCAGGAGCCUGUCCCAUAGGGGUUCGUGGGUUCAAAUCCCACCCCCUGCACCA
Molecule: transfer RNA, 88 nt
Filed under: Candidatus Bathyarchaeota archaeon
Lineage: Archaea; Thermoproteati; Candidatus Bathyarchaeota
Also listed under: 1 other name
Description: tRNA-Leu
Rfam family: tRNA
About the family: Transfer RNA (tRNA) molecules are approximately 80 nucleotides in length. Their secondary structure includes four short double-helical elements and three loops (D, anti-codon, and T loops).
Source: RNAcentral